GCUGCACCCCUGGCUGCCGCCGCGGGAAGGAGGGGAAGCGUGAGCCCAGACCAGCGCUCCGCAGGCUGCAGGCCGCAGGGCCGGGGUGCCGAGGGGUGCGCUGCGAGGAGGGCUCAGCGCCCCGCCGGGAGGGUGUUCACGAUAUUUCAAGUCCAGAAGCAAGUCAAGCAGUUUCUGAGAGUGAUCAUGGCACCAUCCAGCCAUCACUGGAGAAGUGAACCUCAGACAACCGUGUCGUCAUAGAGUGAACCCCAGGUGAAAGGAAACA
Molecule: long non-coding RNA, 268 nt
Filed under: Dasypus novemcinctus (nine-banded armadillo)
Lineage: Eukaryota; Metazoa; Chordata; Mammalia; Cingulata; Dasypodidae
Description: lncRNA (ENSDNOG00000052517.1)
Source: RNAcentral